GUCCGCUUCCCCGCUUGCACCCGUUUGGGUGAGCUAAGGCCCUCGAGGCAAGGGAGGCUCCACUUCAAAGAGGC
RNAcentral lists this non-coding RNA (74 nucleotides) under Fibrobacter succinogenes. RNAcentral describes it as "Fibro-purF RNA". It matches the Rfam family "Fibro-purF RNA". RNAcentral also lists the same sequence under 1 other name. The record is from RNAcentral. Lineage: Bacteria; Pseudomonadati; Fibrobacterota; Fibrobacteria; Fibrobacterales; Fibrobacteraceae.